This 515-nucleotide ribosomal RNA is filed under the name uncultured bacterium. RNAcentral describes it as "bacterial SSU rRNA". It matches the Rfam family "Bacterial small subunit ribosomal RNA", at positions 19 to 518 of the family's 1533-position model. The record is from RNAcentral.
CUGGCUCAGAUUGAACGCUGGCGGCGUGCUUAACACAUGCAAGUCGCGCGUGAAAGGACUUCGGUCCGAGUAAAGCGGCGCACGGGUGAGUAACGCGUGGAUGAUCUACCCAUGAGUUAGGAAUAACGGCUGGAAACGGUCGCUAAUACCAAAUACGCUCCGAUUUCAACUUCGGGGGAAAGGUGGCCUCUGCUUGCAAGCUACUGCUCAUGGAUGAGUCCGCGUCCCAUUAGCUAGUUGGUGGGGUAACGGCCCACCAAGGCGACGAUGGGUAGCCGGUCUGAGAGGAUGACCGGCCACACUGGGACUGGAACACGGCCCAGACUCCUACGGGAGGCAGCAGUGGGGAAUAUUGCGCAAUGGGCGAAAGCCUGACGCAGCGACGCCGCGUGAGGGAAUGAAGGUCCUCGGAUCGUAAACCUCCGUCAGGAGGGAAGAACCGCCACGGUGCUAAUCAGCCGUGGUCUGACGGUACCUCCAAAGGAAGCACCGGCUAACUCCGUGCCAGCCGCAGC